This 253-nucleotide ribosomal RNA is filed under the name uncultured prokaryote. RNAcentral describes it as "partial 16S ribosomal RNA". It matches the Rfam family "Bacterial small subunit ribosomal RNA", at positions 525 to 777 of the family's 1533-position model. The record is from RNAcentral.
ACGUAGGGUCCGAGCGUUGUCCGGAAUUAUUGGGCGUAAAGAGCUCGUAGGCGGUUUGUCGCGUCUGCUGUGAAAUCCCGAGGCUCAACCUCGGGUCUGCAGUGGGUACGGGCAGACUGGAGUGCGGUAGGGGAGAAUGGAAUUCCUGGUGUAGCGGUGGAAUGCGCAGAUAUCAGGAGGAACACCGAUGGCGAAGGCAGUUCUCUGGGCCGUAACUGACGCUGAGGAGCGAAAGCGUGGGGAGCGAACAGGA